Molecule: long non-coding RNA, 479 nt
Organism: Pseudomyrmex gracilis
Lineage: Eukaryota; Metazoa; Arthropoda; Insecta; Hymenoptera; Formicidae
Exons: 3
Source: RefSeq, a predicted model, not a curated record
CCGCGGGAAGUUCUUUUUUGUCUUUGUCACCGUGCCUAAACUUCAGUUGAUUGGCGUGUGCACGAACCAGUCGACUUCGUGUUUGAACAAGCACAUUAUACAGAACUUUGCCAACCCGCUCGAUGAUUUUCCCAGAUACUUGGUAAGAAGAAGGUUUCAGUAAAUCCAAUGAUGUCCGUAUUCGUCUACCCAUCAGUGCUUCAGCCGGAGACAACUUGUUAGGAACAUUUGGAUUUGGAAUGGACCUAUAACACUGUAGGAAAACAGAAAGAAAAUCCAUUGACGAAAAGUUGCUACUAUUUUCCCCAGCUUGUAGUUUAGCAAGUCCUCGCUUGAAAGUAUCCACGAAACGCUCAGCCUGCCCAUUUGAGCUAGGAUGAAAAGGUGGGCUGCGUAUGCCGAAGCGAGCAAAAAUACUUUGAAGUAAACUAAUUGUUUGCUGUGCAGAAAUUGACUGUGUCAGUAUGACUUCUGGCCAU